GACGAACGCUGGCGGCGUGCCUAAUACAUGCAGGUAGAACGCUGAAGGAGGAGCUUGCUUCUCUGGAUGAGUUGCGAACGGGUGAGUAACGCGUAGGUAACCUGCCUGGUAGCGGGGGAUAACUAUUGGAAACGAUAGCUAAUACCGCAUAAUAGUAGAUGUCGCAUGACAUUUGCUUAAAAGGUGCAAUUGCAUCACUACCAGAUGGACCUGCGUUGUAUUAGCUAGUUGGUGAGGUAACGGCUCACCAAGGCAACGAUACAUAGCCGACCUGAGAGGGUGAUCGGCCACACUGGGACUGAGACACGGCCCAGACUCCUACGGGAGGCAGCAGUAGGGAAUCUUCGGCAAUGGACGGAAGUCUGACCGAGCAACGCCGCGUGAGUGAAGAAGGUUUUCGGAUCGUAAAGCUCUGUUGUAAGAGAAGAACGAGUGUGAGAGUGGAAAGUUCACACUGUGACGGUAUCUUACCAGAAAGGGACGGCUAACUACGUG
This 495-nucleotide ribosomal RNA is filed under the name uncultured bacterium. RNAcentral's name for it is "partial 16S ribosomal RNA". It matches the Rfam family "Bacterial small subunit ribosomal RNA", at positions 28 to 507 of the family's 1533-position model. The record is from RNAcentral.